This is a long non-coding RNA of Apis cerana (Asiatic honeybee), 14549 nucleotides long. RefSeq lists it as uncharacterized. Lineage: Eukaryota; Metazoa; Arthropoda; Insecta; Hymenoptera; Apidae. The record is from RefSeq and is a predicted model, not a curated record.
ACAGAUUUUCGAUAAUGAAAAAAUUUUAUAAAGUUUUCAGAAGAAGGAUUCUGUGAGAUUAUUUCGAUACGAUGAUUAUUAUCGAUUGAUCGAAGUUUUAGAAUCGAACGAUUCGAUAGGGGAUCGAAUGGAAGGAUUUGGCGAAGUUUUUUAGUCGCAUUCUUUUCGGGUAAGAAUGAAAGUGGAAGAUGGUGGUGAAGCAAAGUUGGGAUUUGGAGGUGUGCACGAUUGGUGAGGAAUUUUUGGGGAGUGGUUAUAGGUGUGGUGAAUAGGUUUCAGCGGGAAGUGUUGUUUAGGUGAGCAGAAUUUUUAGAUGACAUUAUUCGUCAUAAUUGAUAAAGGUCAUAUUGGAAGUUGACAGGAAUCGUGACAGAUUUUCUACACUUAAUAUCUAUAUAAAUAGAAGAAAUAUAGAACAUAUGUCAAGCUGAUAACGCAAAACAGUUGUUUUCACGGAAUUUACGGAAGCCAAACGAAAUCUUCUACUUAAGAUAAACGAAAAUAAACGAAAAGAUAUACAUGUUUGAAAAUCUACGAACAAAUCUAAAAACACAAGAACUUUCAAAACCAAUCUCUUCUAUACUAAGAUACUCAUUUCUACGAACAGAGGUAUACCGAGUAACAAUUCUACAAAUUCAUAACCUCAAACCGCAUAAAUCCAACAAGAUAGAAACGAAAUAAAACUUUUUUAUAUUUAAUGUCUACGCAAUGUCUAUAAAAAUUUGAAAAUGUGUAUUUAUCUACAAUUCUACAAAUCCAUAAUGUUGAGUUUUGAAAAUUCAAUAACUUAUAUCCUGUAUUUAAAUACAUAAACGGUUGAAUCAUUGAUUAAUGAUUCUUUAAAAAUCCAAUAACCAGCCAAUCUUCAACGAGAAAUCAAAAGUUAAAAAAUCAGAAAAAAACAAAUUACAUACAUUUACGCAAUAACAAUUCUACAAAUCUAUCCUCUUCCAUACUAAAUCAAAAAAUACAUAUAUAUAUAUAAUAUAUACCAAUUACGUUUUGAAGGGCGUUCAUAUGUGCAAUUGCAAUGAAGGAAGAAGUAAACGAGUAGCCAAAGACGACGACGAUGACGACGAAGAGGAGGAGGAAGAAGAAGAAGAAGAUGAAGAAGAUGAAGAAGAAGAAGAAGAAGAAGAAGAAGAAGAAGAAGGCAUGAAAGAAAGGCCCGGGCCUGUUCGGGUGUUCGCAGGCUCGAUCCUCGGUGUCUUGGGACCCACCACGCCAUAGGAUGCCUCCUUCUCCGUCGGUCGGCGGCUCAGCAUCCUUUAAUAUCUCUCGGCGGCCUCCUCUCGUCCAGCGUUUCCUCUUUGUCGCUCGUGUUCCUGUUCAGAACCUCCCCUCCCGCCGGACAGGCCCUCGCGGUCGGCCACUUUCGAUAGCAUCUUGAUGGAAUGCCUGCGGGAUUCUUUCAUUUAUAAUAAAAACAAUUUGAGAAUCAAAUUGAGAAAGUACUAAUAAGUACUAAAAGAAAAUAAGAUUAUAUUGUCAAUUAUAUGGAGGAUUAUAUGGAGGAAGACAAUAAUUGAAAGGAAAUGUAAAAUAUAUUUUGCUGAAAAUAUUUAAACGUUUUAAACUAAGAAUAGAAAUGGGAAGUUUAAAUAAUAAUUUAUUCGUAUACAUUAUUAUUAUUAAUUGCAUCGUAUUCAUCUUUAUCAAACACAAUUAUCGAAAAAAGUACCUUCUUUUUACAAAGUUCCGAUCAUUAAUUAUUUCCAAUCAAUGAUCAAUCUCUUCAACUCUCCAUUAUUGCAUAAUACACAAUAUUUUAAUAAGCCUAAAGCUCGUUACUUGGCGAAUCAAAAUAUUAAUUGCAUCGUUCCCUUUUAUAGGUUGGAAGGCCUCGAUGAUGAAUAAUAGUUACGAAUAAUUAUAAUUCCAAGUGCACGAUUAUCGAUGAUUCAUACGUUUAACACUUUUAUCUUCGAAUCGUCGUUAUGACUAUUACCGAUAAACAUCAAUAUUAAUCAUUAGCAAUAUUAUUAAUUGAUCCAAUUCGGACAACGUUCAUUUUACAUUACGUGAUUUAUUUCAUCGUUCGUCAAAUUCAAAAUCUUUCGUUCAUAAAAUUUUUUGCCGCCAACAAGUGACUCUCCCUUUUUUAACACGAGAAAAGAGUCGACCCACGAUUUUUCCCUACAUCUCGAACAAACGAAAACUAACGACCCAACAUUUAAGGAGUGCAAGUACGCUAUAUAUCGUACGUACACGCAUACAACAGUGAAAAUCUGUCCACGUACACAGGCAUUUGCACAGAAGAGCGUGGCAAACGUGUUUCCUCGCGGGGUCCGUGUGGGUGUACACGUGAUCUGGGCCCUGUGCUCUGACCCCAACCUUUCGAUUUCGUCUCUCUGUCGGCACGGCGUUCACUGUUGCACAGCCGGCCAAAGGGGAUCGGCCUUAAUGGGGGUAGCCGUGGAAUUCCUUCGGCUCGUAACCCGCGAUUUGCCGCUCGCGAGGUGGUUGCGUACGUGCGUGCGAUAUAAGAGAGGAGAACGCGGAUGAACCUCGACCUUUCGUUCCUCUCUUGUUAACCGCUGUGCAACCUCUCUUCCUUUCGCUGUCUCUCUCUUUCUUCACGCAGGAUUGUCGUUUAAUCGUGAUUUCUUUAACAUUUUUAUCGAUCAUCUCCGAUUAAUAAUGUUAUUCAAAGGUGAAAAAGUAUCGGCAUCAGGUCAUCAUUUUUUAAUAAUUAAUUGAACGAUAAAAUUGAUCUUGUAUUUCAGCAUAUAUAUAUAUAUAUAUAUAUUUUUGUGAAAUAUGCGAUGUAGAUUACGCGUUUUUAAGGUUGGAAUGGCUGGGAAUUUGAUCGAAAGCUUCAACACUGUAACAAUUUUCUUGAUAAAUUAAUCCGUAUUAUACGAAUCGACCGUUAUAAAUAAUCGAGCCCGGUCAUUAACUUAACGAAGAUUAACCAUAAACCGAAUAACCGUAUUAAGUUACAGCGAAUUAACCAAAUUACCAUUAACCAUUUACUCGAUUCACUCCAUCAACACGACCCAACCUCGGCCGAUACAUCACCAACCAAAUUGCGCCCAUUCCCGAGCACACCUCAUCUUCGCGCCAAUUUCGAAAAAUUUCCCUCCUCGCCAAAAAACCCUUUCGAGAAACGCGCUUUGCCAAAAAAAAACUACACUUUUGCUUCACCCAAGCGGGACGAGUCUAUCUUUUCCUCUUCUCUUCGCCUCGCCCAUCCCUUUUGGCGUUCGAAUUCCGCGUUUCGCUCGCCCCUGGCCGCCAUUUCUUUUACACGCCAUCAAUAACCGGCAAUUACCCCAUCACGAUUCUGCCCUUGGAACCUCGCCUAAUAAAUUGCCGACCUCGCUUCCCUCCUAUGCCGGUUAAUCGAAGGAAAGCUUCGAUAAUUUCGCGGGAGAUUUAAAUGAAAUUCGAACCGUUAACUGUCCCGGGUUGGAUAUAAACUGGAGCUGGAAGUAAUUCGAAGGUGUAUUGAAUCGAAGGGGGGAAAAAACGGAUUUCGAGACGUGAUCUGUAAAAAGAUAUAAAUAUUAACCGUGAUCACCUUAUAUUUAAUCGAUAAUUACAUUUUAUUAAGAAGAACGAUUUGGCGGGAAAUUUGAAAACGGAUGGUAAUAAGUUUCUACUAGUGAGUAAUAAUAACUUUUUACGCUAAUAAUAGUUAUGGAAAGAGGAUUAAAUUUAACGUAAUGUCAAGCUUUUCGCGAGAUUAACAUAUCCAUCUCGAUUUCACAGCUUUCGUCGGGGAACGGGAGAAACGGAACGGGAUAAAUUACGAUGUCAACCUUUUUUCUUUUCACUUCAUCAUUUCUUCCUUUGUGUUAUUAAAACCGGCGCAAAAUUUUUUCCUAAAUUCCCAGAGGAGUUUUCCUGUUGUAGGUACCGUUAUCGCCAAAUAAGCUAAUACCAUCUACCCAGUUCUGGGUACCUUUCACAGGUACCCACUCAUUCUUUCACGUCCCUGAGGACCUGGGAUGUACUGCAAAGAGAUGGAGGCACGGUUAGAAUAGGUCCUUCACUUCGCUGAAGUUCUACGCACACAACAGCAAACGGUAGAUGAGGCAGAACAUGGGUUCUAUAUCGACUUUGAUCUACCCAGUCAGGUAGAAAUCUCACUCAGUUCAGGUUAACCGAUCUCACCUUCGGGUUCAUCCACCUUAUAUUUAAUUUCGCCCAUUUUCACGUGUAACGAAAAUCGAUAAAAAGGAAAAAGGAUCAAUAUUCAGGGUUCAUUAUUCAAAGAAUUUUUCAAUCUCUUUCGAAAGAUUCGAAGGACGAUCGUGUAUGUUCAAUUCGUAUCGUGGAUUUCUGUCGUAUAAUGAUAGAGUUGAGACUUUUUUUUUUUUUUUUUUUUUUUUCUCCUUUUAAUAAAAUUGUCAACACAUUAAGUUCUUAUACUUUCUUUAUCGCAAACAUCAAGUUAAAACAUCGAGUCAAAUAAAUUCCUCUACGUCUUUUAACCGUUACUUAAACUUGUUUAUUACCUAUGGCGCUAACAUUAAUGAGGUACAAGUAAAUAGGUUCUGUUUAAUUUGACUUUAGCAGGAAGGAAAAGAAGAAAAAGAGGAGAAAGAAAGGAACGUUGGAAAGGGGCUGCUAGUUGGUUCCGUGACUGUUCAUAGGCAGUAAAUCCCUCCGGAUGAUUAGAGGUCGGCGCCAUGGCUUGUUACGGCUCGAUAUGGAAUUCAAUGGAGGAGAAAAGUAACGAUGAAAACGAUUUACCGAUUUCUACCUUCGUUACUUCGUUCUCGAUUAUUUUUCGUAAUAGCAUUUGCCACGAUAUCUCGACCCCUCGUUCCCCCAUUAACACUCGCGAGAUUUCCUUCUCUUUUUUCUUCCCCCCCCUUCCCGGUUUCAAAUCAUCAAUGUUGAUGAAUAAAUAAACGAACGAAUAAUACGAUAAUAAGGAAAAUUAAGUUACGAUUACAAUUUUAAUGAAUGGAGUGGAAUAACUUUUCGUUUUAAUUUUUAAAAAUUACAUAAAAAUUAUUAUCGUAGAUGCAAUAUUGAAUUACAACAUUCAAUUAUUUGUUGUAUCUCGCGUACAUCCGAUUGAAUAAAGAUGAGGCCAGAUAUAUCAUGUUGGUGAAAUAUUGCAAAUCAUUUGAACGACAACAUCUCGUUCUCUCGUGCAUAUUUUUGUCGAGGCACAAAGGCAGCGAAGAAGAACCGAUUCGAUUAAAAUCUUCGCACGAAACUUUUCUAUUAUCCAUCCCGUGCCAAUCAAACUUCUUAAAAUUGGCAAAAAUUGUUAAACAAAACGUCGCGUUACACGACCGAUGAAUCACGAGUAUCCGCGUGAUUUGCAGGAAACGCGGUGUUGCUCGCGCCAAGUUUCUCGAACGAACGCGGAUUUCAUUAUUAGAAUUUAAUUUCAAUAAUAUAUAAAGCUUCCGACUCUGAUUAAUCAAAUCUAAUUAUUGAGCGAGAAAAGAAAAACAGAUUUACCUUUAUCGUAUAAAAUUCUACGAUUUGUCAUAGAGAUCGAUAAAAAUUUAUAAGUUAGUCCGUUCAGCCCAUACUUUCAGGAGGGGAUGGACGUGGCAGGCGUGUAUAAAUCGUUUGGAAAUUCUCGGCGGGUAACUAGGGGAAUUUUAAAUUUCCCGCGGUGAAUACGAAUGAAUAAAAUCACGUAGAGCAUUAAGCUUGAUUAAUUAUUACGCCUGUUACCAGUAAAAAAAUAUUAUAAAGAUGAUCACUCGCAAGUAGAACAUAAUCUCCCGAUUCUUUCGAACGAGUCGUCGAGGAAAAAAGGAAUAAUCGCGCGCAUAUUCAAAAGAUACGUAAUUUUAUAAAGGAUCGAGCCCUUCCUUUCCUCUAGAAAAGAGAAAUUGAAUUAAAUUUCAUUUAAUUAACCGCGGAAAUGGAAGAACAAGUGAUAAAAAAGGGAGAAAGAAAUGGUUUUCGUUUAAUGAAACGGGCGAACGGUUGCGCUAUUUCUCGAACGAUUAACGAAACGACAUAACGAGUGGACUGGAGAAACAGGAGACGGGUAGGAGAACGAUGGAAGAAUGUGUAACGAAUCGCGCAUUCCCCGACGAUAUGCAGAGGCGUGUGUGCAACGGCGGCGUCACGUGAAUUGAACACCGCGGACGUGGUGUGUACCCCACGGCUCGUUUUCUGCACGCGGUCACGUCCACGUCUGGAAACGAAAAUCGCGGAAGCGGCGAUGGUUCGCGCGCACACGGGCGCGUGAAGUUGCAUAAUAUUCCGCCGGGCCCGUUUAAAUUCUUGACGCGUCGUGCCCCACCGCGUUAAUCCGUCCCUCAUUUCCUCCGAGUUUUCGUUCGUUCCUCGAAUUCGAGACCAUCGAUCGAUUGCCAUCUCUCCAAUUCUCGAUAUAUAUAUAUAUAUAUAUUGAAUGUGAAUAGUUUGAUAUGAAAUUACAAAUCGAAAGAGCGAUGUAAUUAUCCGACGUUACAUAUUUUACCCGAUUUCGUAGGUGGGGAGCUGGAAGGAGAGCGAUUUUUAAAGAAAAUCCGGGAGCGGGGGGCGAUAUACGCGAGCGACUUCCGUUCCGAUGAAACGAUAGCCACACGGUGAAGAAAAACGAUUCACGACGUCUUAUCGUAGCUCGUUAAGCUUGGAAAGAUUAAAUUAUCGAAGCGGCGUCUGCAGUCGCCUCUGAAUAUAAUAAAUCGUCGAUCAGCGGUUGAUCGAGUGAAUGACCAGAACGAAACAGGGUGGCCCGACUUUCCAGCUCUAAUGAUUUGUCUGUCCAUAGCUUAUCUCAUUAACGAGUGUCCCGUUCGAAUGUCGCCGGCUGAAGGGGGAGGGGGGAUCGGUUUCAUUGGUUGAAAUCGAUGAGAGGGAAGAAUCAUCUUCCCUCCCUGCUCCCCCCCUCGUUUCGUUCCGUAUCGUUUUCUCCCUUUUUUCACGCCGAUAAUUUAAUCGUUUCGAUCCGUGAACACGAGACGACGACCACGACGACGCGUGAAAAGCGAAUGGAAUCUCUCGAUAAUAACUCGUUAUUGAGAUAUUAACCCGAUUUUUUUGGUUUAAUAAAUUUUAAAAAUCCCGGGAUACAUUGUACAUUUCUCUUUCGCGGAACAAUGCUCAACAGAUCCGGGAUUAUUUUUAGCCGAUUAUUUCAAGUUAAGAUAGAUAAAUAGAUGAACGAUAAUGUAAUUAGCGCGGAUACGGUGGUCAACCGUGGUUUCAGAGAAUCACCAUCAACCUCGAUUUAAAUUUUAGACUUCAAUUAAAAUUCAACGAGAGGUUUUUUUCCUUUCUUUCUUUCUCUUUCCUUUUUUUCCCCCCUUUACACAACCAUUAUAUAUACGCGCGAUCUUCAGAUUUGCUUGCAAGGGAUCCAAGCGUGAACACCUUAAUUGGUAUUGUACUGGAAUAACUUUCCAAUUACAUAUGUAUCAUGAAAAAUUCAUGCAACUGUAUUAAGGGCUUGUUAUCGCGAAAAUUUCUUACAAUAUCAAUUCUUUUAAUGGCCAGAUUAGACGGAUCCUCGUUAAAUGUAACUUUCGAUCGAUAACCAAGCAUCGACAAUUGAAAUUCUCGAGAGAAAAAGCAAGGAUCGCGAUUUUAUUUAACGCGAUAUUUAAGAAAAAAAAAGAAUAAAAAUAUCGCAAUUAACAAACGAGGGCUCGAUCGCGCAAAUUAAAAGGAGGGCAAACACUUCCGGUUACGAACCCCAAUUUCUCCUUUAUUUCUCAGGCAGAUUACACGUUUCCACCCAGCCGAUCGUUAUUAUUGCCUAUAUUGCUUUCCUCCUUGGCCAACGUUUUUGAAACCAAAUUUCUUCGUCCAUUUUCCAUUCGGUCGGAUUUCACUUUCGCGAAGACGGUCAUUAUCGAGCGUUAAAAAGAGGGAACAACAAUGAAAGUCUCGUUGGAACGAGUAAAAUGGAGGCGCUCAGGGGUAGCCAUAUGGCGUGAGUUUGAUUAAUUGUGUUGGAACUUCUUCGUUCGCAAUAUUAUAGACAGGAAUAUACACGUUCCUUUCGCAACGUGAGACGGUCCAAUGCCCAAUUAAAGGACGGAUAAUUUUAAUUGACGAAGUUAAGGGCGGUGAUUAAUCCUGUAAUCGCUCGUUCGGAUGAUGAUUAUUAUUGCUUGUUUAUUUGAAAAUGUAAUGAUUCUUGUGAAAGAGGAUACGUAGAUUUUUUUUAAUAACAAUUUUGGUUCGAAAAUUACUACAUGAGCGAUUAAAAUGCUCGAAUAUCGCAGUCGAUCCUCGACACUCUACUAUUUACUUGCCAUUAUAAUUGUAACUUCAACUGAGACGAACCAUCCAGGAUCAAUAAUUGCCAGAUUGAAUUUUAAUUCGAAUGAAAGGAUAAAAAAAGGAGAGAAUAGAGAGAGAGAGAGAGAGAGUCUCUCAUUCCAGAUUUCUUAUCUCGAGAGAACUCGUUCUAAGCCUGAUGGCCAAGGUUUCUUGUUCGUGGAAACUCGUUUUAAAUUCCACGGUUUUAAAGUUCCUUUACUCGAAGGAAUCUGUCGAAUAGUUUAAAAUCAAAUGUAUUCCACGCUCCCUUCAAUUCCACGGGCCCCUUCUUCCAAAGAACUUAUUUCAUAUUCAUUCCGAUUUUAUUUCGAGCAUGUCGAUCCUAAUUUUUCACCUCUUUCCGGCCCCCCUUCUUUUCGUGCCUUUAAGGCGUUUAAACUUUUAAAUAACUGGACGAGGGGGCCCGUUUACUUGGAAAACCGUCGGUAAUUCCCCAUUUUUUAAAUCGGUCGAAUCCAGUAGAAAAACUUCAACUUAAAAAAUUCCUCUUUCCUUUGUACACCUGAUUCCAGUUUCCUUAUUCGACGCUUCGAACAAGUUUUCCAUUUCCAGAUCCUUCAUUCUGAGAAACGAGCACGAGUCGAAAGCUCGUUUAAUAUCAUCGAUAUAUAUAUAUAUAUAAAUCUUUAAAUUUUUUAAAAAUAUUUCCAUAAAUCUAACGAAAUUAAAAAGUCACAUUAAUCUCAAUCCCUUUCACGUUUAAAUCCUUGCAACUCUCUAAUUCUCUCUCUCUCUAUUUAUAUAUAUCAAAGAGCAACAAGUAUAUCCGAAAUUACAUCUUCCCUCGAUUCUAUCAUCCGUCUUCUCCUCCGCAUUCUUUCCUCUCUCGCGUGGCAAACGUGCGAUCGAGGCAAGGAUCGUCCUUCGAGGAGGGGGGCCAGGUGUUGGCACCGUGCUCUCGAACGUUUCCUUUGCUUCAUUUGCGUCAUUCGUCGAAGAUUAUCAAAGAGGGGGGUCGAUUUCGUUAAGGGUGGCUGGCUGGGCGACUCCGCACCCUUGGCAAGCUCGUGCCAAACAGAUGUCUCAUUGUCAUGCUAAGGGAUCACCCUUAACGUGUAACGUGUCUUUAGGGACGUUAGACGUUCCUUCGUUCGAAAUUAUUUCUUUUUUUUUCUAGAAACAGGGGUCAAGGGGGAGGAUAACGUACGCGAGAGGAUCCCUUCUCUAUUGAUCCAAUCGUUCUCCAAAAAAUUUUUGCCGCUGCAGAGAUGUCUCUCGAGACGAGAAGGUAAUGGUUUUCUUCCUCUUAAGAAUCUUGUAGUUGUGAUUCAAAACUCGAAUCGAUUGUAGAAUUUAUCAUAGAGUUGGUUCGUCGAAUUAAUAAUUUCCAAGUAUUUUAAGAAGAGAAUAUGAAAUUUAUAUUCUCCAAUUUAAUGUACUUUAACUCCUGUGAUAUCUGAACUUGGUCGACAAUAUUAAAACCGGCGAUAGUCAUUCUUCUUUGGAAAUCUAAAUUCAAAUCAAAGGAUCGAAAGGAUUGAGGGAAGAAAAAAAAAGUGGCUCGAACUUAGACGGCGCAAUGGGCCUAAAAAAAAAAACAGAGAGAGAGGGAAUUGUGCAGCCGUUACGUGGACGGUUCCAUCUGCAAAUUUUUGGCCGUGAAUACGGGGCAAAUUCACGUUGGCAAUGGUUUUCGGCUUUUGAUUUCACUCCCCCUCUUCCUCGUGUCCUGCAGUCGCCUGCAGGUCUUCGAACUUGAAAAACACUUUCUUGCCUCCUCGACUAAAGAUCUCGAAUAAAAAUCCUGCCAGCUGCCUUCUCGGCUACCCUCUUUGUAUUUCACGGCACGGGCUAGACUUUUGUCGUUACCUUUCCCUUUUGUCGUGAGCGAAGCCCGCUGACUUUCGAUCGAUAAAGGAUGUACAGGGUGGGCCGAUACAGGAAGUAGAGGCGAACUUAUCAAUUUCGAUCGAGGGUCGUCGCCUCGGGAAAAUGGUUGGGAAGAUAAGCCCUUAUCUAUUUUUUCUGCCUAAAUUAGGAAUUUUUAGGAGGGAAUCGUAAUUUGGUAUAAUGCGAAGUCGGGUGUUGAGAGUUGGCCGAUGAUAUUAGGGGGAGGAAUAAUAUUUUAAAGAGCUCGUCGAAAGAGAACGACGGGAAAAUAUAUUUAAAAUUCUAGAAAGUUGAAAGUUGUGGUCCAGUUUCUUAAUAUCCUUUUUCGUUUCUAAAUUCGUCAUUGUUUCUGAGUAAUAUACAUCUAAUAUUUGACGCAACGUGUCGAUGGCAGAGGAACGUUAGUAGACAACGUUAAAUCUGUUUCAAAGGAUUCGUUUCAAUUUUAAGGGGGGGGGAAAAAAAAGAAUCGAUGGCUUUUUGUGAAAGUGUGAAGAUCGUGCGAGAGAGUUGUAGGUACCACUUAACUUUUAAAACGUGCACCAUCCUACAUUUCCCAUUUAGUGCUUGUUUUUACGCAAAUUGAAGCGCGAUAUUCGAGACACCUGCUAUUACGUGUUCCACAUUUUUCCGUGAAAAGAUUAAUUUAUUAUAAGGUUUCCUUGCAACACCAGAGGUAAAGGGUAUGAUUUUAAGCGAGCAUUUGUUCCUGUUUUCUUCUUCUUUUUUUUUCUUACUUUAAUAAAAUUACCUUAAUAGUUUAUAUUCUUAUUAUAAUUUAACGAGCCCCCCCCCCAAAAAAGGAGGAAUAUAUUAAAAAGUGAAAGUUCACGAUACAUUUUAUCGUAACGUAUCUUUUCAUUCGUUCAGCUUUCGCUUACGAGAGUAAACAAAGUCAUAAGUCACUCGUGCAAGCUUUCAACAAUCUGGAUUAUAAUAAUAAUCUCCUUUAACGAACUCUUGCUUAAACUUAAUCUUCCACUUUAAAACAAGUUCCUUCCCUUAAGCCCAGAGAGCCAGCCAUGCAUAUAAUUGAUCGUUAGUUUCCAUUAAAUUUCGUUAAGGAUGGCUCGUUCGAAAAAUUAUAAUUAGAAAAUUAUGACUCUAUUCAAACCCCCUUCGAUUUAAUUAAAGUCACAGCGAAUCUCGUUACUUUAAUCCUCCCUUAAAGUAGAAUCAAUAUAACGCUCGUUAAUUUAUUCACAACUUGAAUAUCUCUUACGUUUUUCUUAUUAUCAAUCACCUCCUCCUCCUCCUCCUCUCCUAUUUCCUGAAAAGAAUCGAAACGACACACCCUUAAAGACCCGAAUCGCCAUCCAUUGUUCGAAAUAAAAUAUAUAUAUAUACAUAUAUCUCCGCGUAUUUAACCGUACUUAUUCGCGAAAGGAGGCCAGGUGCCCGUCACCACCUCCGUGGAACCGAUAUUCCAACGUAUCGAGGUCGUCAGACUCUACUCCCUCCCCCUCUGGAAGACUCUACCAGCCCCCUUCCAGAAACGGUUCACGGGGAUACCCUGCCGUUUUCCUUUUUACCUUCCUUCACUCAUCGAAUGGUAUUACGUUAGACGAUAGACUGGUGGCCGAUCGCCAGGUGUCCACGUAACCCCGUGCUACCCCCUGAAACAGUGCAGGUGUGCCGGCACGCGCGUUCUCCAUCUCCCUCCCUCUCUCUUUUCUCGAUUGCGCGCACGAAGGAGGAGAGCGUGGCCUUUCGAAGUUUCUUAAACGGUGCAACGCACUUACGUCACUUGGGUUCGAUUGCUCGAUGCACGAGCGAUGGAUGGAUCGAGUGGUUUCCCCCCAAGUGUCUCUCAUCUCGGAAGCGUAGAAGUGGUUCGUUCGAGGAUAUGAAGGGUUUUCGAACGCGAGGAGGUAUAUAUAUAUAUCGUGAACGUUGAGAAAUUGACGAGGUUUUGGUGGUUGGAAUAAUAAUUGGAAUUUUGAAUCUAGGAAUUGAAGUCGAUGCGAGGAAUCGACGAUGUUCUACGUUUCUUGUGUUUUGUAGUUGGUUGGUUUUAAAAUCGAUUCGACAAAGGUAGGACAAAGGUCUCGAUCUUUAUAUCUCAGAGACUUUGAGUGAUAAAUCGAAGUAACUUGAUUCUUAAUCAAAAUUCGUAUUCGUUGAUGAAAAGAUAGGUCUAACCUAACCUCAAAUUUUACAUUCACGAACGAAAAGACGGAAGGAAGCUUGAAUCUAAAUCGAUAAACGAAUAGAAAAAUGACAAUUAUCCAAAAUUCCAUCGACAAACAAUAAUAUAACAAAAUCGAUGGAAAAUUGAAUAAUAAUUUUAGAAAAGGCACAAGUGUUGUCCUCGUAUGAAACGAGGAAUAACGAUUCUUGUCGAGAUGACAGCCUUCCACCAAGCACCACCCCAUCUUGAACACCCGUCUUGAACAUAAGGUGGUCUUUGUAUAUAUUGUUCUACUGAUACGAGGCGCAUAUGCUUUUGUGCCAUUAACGUAUACAAAAGGCACGUGCCAAAUGUUUUUUAAUCGGCGCCAUUUGUUUUCCGAACAUUGUCUCUCCGUACUAACAUCGUUCGUACAUUUCCAUGGGAUUUGUUCGAUAAACAAUACUUUCUUAAACUUGUUUAUUAAAUCAUUGAUUAGAACGAUACGUUUCUUCGAAUACUUGAAUUUAUUCGUAACUAUUAUUACAGUUGAUCUUUAUAUCUCAGAGACUUUGAAUGAUAAGUCGAAGUAACUUGAUUCUUAAUUCGUAUUCGUUGAUGAAAAGAUACGUCUAACCUAACCCCAAAUUUUAUAUUCACGAACGAAAAGAUAGAAAGAAGCAUGAAUCUGAAUCAAUAAACGAAUAAAGGAACGACAAUUAUCCAAAAUUCCAUCGACAAAUAAUAUAACAAAAUCGAUGGAAAAGAUACACAUAACCUCAAAUUUAUAAUCACGAAAAGACGAAAGGAAGCUUGAAUCUGAAUAGAAAAACGACAAUUAUCUAAAAUUCCAUCGACAAAUAAUAAUAUAACAAAAUCGAUGGAAAAGAUACACAUAACCUCAAAUUUAUAAUCACGAAAAGACGAAAGGAAGCUUGAAUCUGAAUAGAAAAACGACAAUUAUCCAAAACGACAAACAAUAUAACCUAACCUCAAAUUUAUAAUCACGAACGAAAAGAAACUCGAAAAGUAAAAUGAUAAAUGAAUAGGAUGAAUAAACAAUUGUCCAAAAUUCUGUGGACGGUAACAAUAACAAAAUCGAUGGAAAAGUAACAGCUCACGCUUCGAUGCCUUUAAUCGCAUCGCAACUCCAACGCAUGCGAGCAACAAGAGAAGGGAUGAGGAAGAAAAAUCAUGGGGGAUGGUUCCCGACGCCUGCAAUUUUGCCGUGACAAUGGGUAACGAGUGGCUGGUUCAACAAUUCGGCUUUUCUUCCGUGGAACAACCGUCUUGAACAUAAGGCGACGCGGUCACUCGUUUCCUAGGGCUCCUAUUGAGUGUGCCGCCGCAAUGAAGUCGGUGGCAUAAGGCGCACGUGCUGCACGCGUGCCAACCCUCAUCCAGAUGACUUCUAAUUGAAUUAUCGUAAUCACCGGACGAAAAAUUUCCUCCGACCGACUUUUGUCUUGCGCCAACGAAUUCCUUUCGAGACGGUUAUUAACCGUCACGGUGGUGGAGCACCGAAUUUUUAUCGCACCCCUUAAUAACGUCCCUUUCGGGAGUCAUUUUCGCCUGUUUCGAUCCUUUUUAAUCGGAGAGUGACGAGGGGAGGGGGAUUGGAUAGGAAGCGUGCUUUAAUUUCGGAAUAUUCGGAGGGGUGGAAGGGGAUUUUUACGAAGAGGGAAAUAUUUCAAGGGUGGUUGAAUUGAAGUUGGAUGCGAAGAAGGUGGAGGAUUUUAAAAAUUUUUUAUCAACGUAUUAAUAUUGGUGAAAGUGAAUUGAAUUGCGAAAGGAAGAUAUUUUUCGAUAUAAUUUUAUAAAAUUCUUGUCAAGCCUUUAAAAAGAAUAAGAAAGAAAGAUCGUUACGCAAGGAUGUAGCUGGAAUCGAAUUUGACUUUAAUUAUAAAAGUAGAAUAUAUUAGAUAAAAGUUAGAUAAUUUGGAGUUGAUUUAUAAUAUAUUUACAAAAUUUCAUUCAUUCUUCGGAAUUAUCUUUGACUUUUUUUUCUUCUUCUUCUUCUUUCUUAAUUGCUACCAUUUUUCAGAGAAAGAGGAGAGAGAGAAAGAGAGAGAAACGUUAUCCACGAGAUUAGAGGAGUUGAUAACGUUAUGCAUGAAGUUUACUAACUGACGAUGUACAGUUGUAGAUUACGUUUUAUCUAGAUCAGCUAACAACUGAUGUUAGUACGAUGUUUGACUAUAAUCUACUACUUAAGCCACGUAGAUCACGAAAUGUCUGGAAAUAAAGUAAAUAAUACGAAAUAUUCCUGUUUCUUCGAAAACAGAAACAAAGAAAGCAGACAAGAAGAGAAUAAAUAUGUUCAUUAAGCCAUGUUUAUAUUAAGCAAUUUUUUUAAUCUUGUGUUAAUAAGAAGUGAUGGAGGAGGACG